Molecule: ribosomal RNA, 762 nt
Filed under: uncultured bacterium
Lineage: Bacteria
Description: bacterial SSU rRNA
Rfam family: Bacterial small subunit ribosomal RNA
Source: RNAcentral
UUCUUUAUCACCGAGUGCUUGCACUCACCGAUAAAGAGUUGAGUGGCGAACGGGUGAGUAACACGUGGGCAACCUGCCCAAAAGAGGGGGAUAACACUUGGAAACAGGUGCUAAUACCGCAUAACCAUAGUUACCGCAUGGUAACUAUGUAAAAGGUGGCUAUGCUACCGCUUUUGGAUGGGCCCGCGGCGCAUUAGCUAGUUGGUGGGGUAAAGGCUUACCAAGGCAAUGAUGCGUAGCCGAACUGAGAGGUUGAUCGGCCACAUUGGGACUGAGACACGGCCCAAACUCCUACGGGAGGCAGCAGUAGGGAAUCUUCCACAAUGGGCGAAAGCCCGAUGGAGCAACGCCGCGUGGGUGAAGAAGGUCUUCGGAUCGUAAAACCCUGUUGUUAGAGAAGAAAGUGCGUGAGAGUAACUGUUCACGUUUCGACGGUAUCUAACCAGAAAGCCACGGCUAACUACGUGCCAGCAGCCGCGGUAAUACGUAGGUGGCAAGCGUUAUCCGGAUUUAUUGGGCGUAAAGGGAACGCAGGCGGUCUUUUAAGUCUGAUGUGAAAGCCUUCGGCUUAACCGGAGUAGUUCAUUGGAAACUGGGAGACUUGAGUGCAGAAGAGGAGAGUGGAACUCCAUGUGCAGCGGUGAAAUGCGUAGAUAUAUGGAAGAACACCAGUGGCGAAAGCGGCUCUCUGGUCUGUAACUGACGCUGAGGUUCGAAAGCGUGGGUAGCAAACAGGAUUAGAUACCCUGGUAGUCCACGCCG